GGUGAGUAACGCGUGGGUAACCUGCCCUGUACACACGGAUAACAUACCGAAAGGUAUGCUAAUACGGGAUGAUAUAUAAGAGUCGCAUGACUUUUAUAUCAAAGAUUUUUCGGUACAAGAUGGACCCGCGUCUGAUUAGCUUGUUGGCGGGGUAACGGCCCACCAAGGCGACGAUCAGUAGCCGACCUGAGAGGGUGAUCGGCCACAUUGGAACUGAGACACGGUCCAAACUCCUACGGGAGGCAGCAGU
This 250-nucleotide ribosomal RNA is filed under the name Acinetobacter baumannii. Its description in RNAcentral is "partial 16S ribosomal RNA". It matches the Rfam family "Bacterial small subunit ribosomal RNA", at positions 105 to 355 of the family's 1533-position model. Lineage: Bacteria; Pseudomonadati; Pseudomonadota; Gammaproteobacteria; Moraxellales; Moraxellaceae. The record is from RNAcentral.